UUAGUGGCGAACGGGUGAGUAAUAUAUCGGAACGUACCUUGUAAUGGGGGAUAACUAGUCGAAAGAUUAGCUAAUACCGCAUACGCCCUGAGGGGGAAAGUAGGGGAUCUUCGGACCUUACGUUAUAAGAGCGGCCGAUAUCUGAUUAGCUAGUUGGUGGGGUAAGAGCCUACCAAGGCGACGAUCAGUAGCUGGUCUGAGAGGACGACCAGCCACACUGGAACUGAGACACGGUCCAGACUCCUACGGGAGGCAGCAGUGGGGAAUUUUGGACAAUGGGCGAAAGCCUGAUCCAGCCAUUCCGCGUGAGUGAAGAAGGCCUUCGGGUUGUAAAGCUCUUUCGCAAGGGAAGAAAACUUACAUUCUAAUAAAGUGUGAGGCUGACGGUACCUUGAUAAGAAGCACCGGCUAACUACGUGCCAGCAGCCGCGGUAAUACGUAGGGUGCGAGCGUUAAUCGGAAUUACUGGGCGUAAAGCGUGCGCAGGCGGUUUUGUAAGUCAGAUGUGAAAUCCCCGAGCUCAACUUGGGAACUGCGUUUGAAACUACAAGACUAGAAUAUGUCAGAGGGGGGUAGAAUUCCACGUGUAGCAGUGAAAUGCGUAGAGAUGUGGAGGAAUACCAAUGGCGAAGGCAGCCCCCUGGGAUAAUAUUGACGCUCAUGCACGAAAGCGUGGGGAGCAAACAGGAUUAGAUACCCUGGUAGUCCACGCCCUAAACGAUGUCUACUAGUUGUUGGUGGAGUAAAAUCCAUGAGUAACGCAGCUAACGCGUGAAGUAGACCGCC
RNAcentral lists this ribosomal RNA (786 nucleotides) under uncultured beta proteobacterium. RNAcentral's name for it is "bacterial SSU rRNA". It matches the Rfam family "Bacterial small subunit ribosomal RNA", at positions 92 to 873 of the family's 1533-position model. The record is from RNAcentral. Lineage: Bacteria; Pseudomonadati; Pseudomonadota; Betaproteobacteria.